Molecule: long non-coding RNA, 2198 nt
Filed under: Nicotiana tabacum (common tobacco)
Lineage: Eukaryota; Viridiplantae; Streptophyta; Magnoliopsida; Solanales; Solanaceae
Description: long non-coding RNA (NTAB_LNC009584)
Source: RNAcentral
AACACAAGAAUUCUUUAAUUGAUGUUAUUGGAGUGAAGAACCAAAAAUUAAUUUGUUCGAUAUACCUUGUAAGUUCAUUAACUUUUUAUUUUUCUUGUGAAAAUAUUAUCUUUUGGGGUUUGUUGGUAGGAGUUGUAGUUGAAAAGUGGUGAGUGGUUUUUGGGAUCAGUUUCUUUAUUUAUCAUGAGCAAAAAAAUACUAUGUUGUGGGAGGACAACAUGAUAUCAUAUUGAAUUUUUUUCAAUUCCCAUCCUCUUCCAUCGCUGCUACAAAUUUCUGAAAUAAGGCAAUGUGUAGAGGUUACUAAUUAUUUCUCCAUUUUUUUUAUGAAGAUGUUUAUAUUUAGGGGAUAUUGUUAUUCUUCCUUUGAUUCAUUCAGAGAUAAUUUAAUGUUUAUUUUGAUUAACUGCAAGCAAAUUAAUAGGUGUUAGAUCUUUCAACUGAUAAUUUAUGUGCUUGUCGAAUUUGUGUCUUAAUGAGUAUGUGUUCCUUUUACUUUUUGAGUAUAUGGUUACUCUCGUGUUAAUAGUCUAUGGAGAAUAUAACCUUUUUAGUUGACGGUUUAUUGUUCCGCCUCUUUCAUAUAGGAUUAUGAAGUUGGGAAAAGCUAAUUGCUUAUAUAAUUGCAGUAAUUAGUUUAAAUAUAGCUAAUUAAGCUUUUGCAAACUCUUAAGUCUAUUUCCAGCAUUGUUUGCUUAUUUAAUUGUCUUUGGAUUGAAAUUAUUGUGUAUUAGUUUGCCUAUAAUACAUGAGAAAGUUAUCCCCUUAACAAAAUUUGCACAACAUAGGCUGGACGUCACAUAAUUUACUAAACUUUGCAAAAGGUAUUAUGAAUACUAUUAUCAAUUCUCUGUUGUACUUUUACCAUUCUUUGAAAUCAUUUUUUCUUUGAAUAAGUUAUUAGGAUUUUCUCUGCUCUCGAACAACAUUUUACAUAGUUAUUUUUUAGAUUAUCAAUAUAAAUUUUAUAUUCUGUAUUCUAUCGUUUACGUGAGCUUCUGAAUUUAUGCCCGUUAACAAAUAUUAGUAUAAAAUGUAUGCAGGUUUUGUUCUUUUAUUAGGUGCUUAGGAUCUGAAUUCGUUUCUGCGCAUACAAACUUUAGAUGUGGGGAUGAAUUAAAUUUAAAAUUUUAGAAAGGCAUUAUGAAUUAUUUUUUAAGUAGAAUGAAAUAAACGAUCGAAGUUUGAAAAACAAGGUAGACCGUUGCAUCAGUUCUUGUAUUCAUUCUAUUAAACUUUCAUAAUUGCCUUUUAAUAAGCCAAGGGAGUAUGUCCAUUUGUAAUAAACAUGUAUGUAUAUGUUUGUAUGUGUGUAUAUACAUAACCUAAUGGUGGUCUAAAAAGUUGUCCAUUUUAUGGCAUUCUUUAUCUAAGAUAAUGUCUCUUCUCCGAUUUUUAUUUUUUUUUUUUUUUUUUAAAUUUUACUUAUGAAGUUCAUGCAACUUUUAAAUUUGUUGCCGUCAAAUCCAGAGUUAGUGUACAUUUUCUAAUGAUUUCCCUUUUAACUUAGUUGCUCCAGGGGAAACGAACUUAUUAUUUGCUUAAAUAAGUGCACAUUAUCUAAUUGUAAAAUUGAUAUAAAUAUACAAGUCAAUACUUUUUUACCACUAUUUUGUUUUUAUAAAAAAAGAUGAUAUAUUUUUAACAUGAAGUAAAAUACAUAUGUGAUACCAUGAAGGCAGAAAACACAAAUUGCACUAAUACCGAGUAAGGUUGUGAAAAUGCCAAAGAAGUGAAGACAACUGAUAUUAUGGAUGACUUACUUGUAGAUGCACAUGUAACUUCUUACAAAUAUUUUCAUAAUAUACGUGCCUUUUUAAUUAUGUGUAUACGUAUAUAAUCUAAUAUAUUGGUUGAUGUUAUAUAGCAUGCAUAUUAUAGGUGCAUUGUGAAGAUAACGUAAAUUACAAGUUCAUCAUAUGCUUCUUGCAAAAAGGGUACUGCAAGAGAGAGGGGAUGCAAUACAUAAUAGUGCAACUUGUGGCAAUUGUAACAUAUACAAUGUUGAUUAUAAAGGGAGGUAAGGUUCAUUGAAAAAUUCUUUUCAUGUUUCAUGGAAUAAAAGAGUUACUACUUUGUCUACAAUGUUUUAAAUAUUUCUUAAAGUUUGAAGUUAAUAAUAGAGAACGACUUAUCGGUUUCGUACAACUCACUUUAGAUAUGACAUAUGUUUUCAAACAGAUACUACAACCAUGGCA